This 1557-nucleotide ribosomal RNA is filed under the name Sluysia triapertura. Its description in RNAcentral is "eukaryotic LSU rRNA". It matches the Rfam family "Eukaryotic large subunit ribosomal RNA", at positions 87 to 1449 of the family's 3401-position model. Lineage: Eukaryota; Metazoa; Platyhelminthes; Tricladida; Uteriporidae. The record is from RNAcentral.
CGGCGAGCGACCAGGAAUUAGCCCGACACCGAAUCCUAUACCGUCAAGGUAAUGGGAGUUGUGGUGGAUAGGAUUAUAUCUUUGGCAGUUAGGUUAACUUGAAAUUCGCUUGAAUGCGAUAUGUCCAUAGAGGGUGCCAGACCUGUUCGAGUUAACGUGAUUGUUAUUGAUGUUUUCCAAUGAGUAGGAUUGUUUGGGAAUGCAGUCCAAAUUGGGUGGUAGAUUCCAUCUAAGGCUAAAUACUUGUCUGAGUCCGAUAGUAAACAAGUACCGUGAGGGAAAGUUGAAAAGAACUUUGAAGAGAGAGUUAAAUAGCACGUGAAAUCGCUUAGGGGUAAACGAGUAGAGCCGAAGGUUGGUGUAUGGAAUUCAGCUAUUUAUUGAUUUAAAUGGUGGGGCUUAAUUAUGCAAAUUUUAACCACACUGAAUAAUCGAAAAUKAGUAAUUAGUGCAUUUUCUAUACAUCAAAUGUGCGACCGAUAUGAAACUUUUCUGUCGUAGAGAUGAAGUUAUCCUUGUCUUCGGAUGAGGCUUUAUAGCUUUCUGCAUAGUCAAGUUUUGUCUCGGUGACAAAAAUCAAUCAAAUUCCCGAUUGUGUAUAUUGAUGGCUGUUGUAUUGGCUUUUUUCGGAAAGACUGUAUGAUUGUCGUUGAUGCAUACGAGAUUUGRGAAUGAUUGGUGCAAAGUCAGCAUUGCUAUGUAGGCAAUCUACUCGUCCCGUCUUGAAACACGGACCAAGGAGUUUUUUAUACUUGCAAGUCAAAGGGCUUUACGAAACCCCACGGCGUAAUGAAAGUAAAAUACUUACAAUUUCGUAAGUAAAGCAUGACCUCUGUGGUAUCCCCGCAGAGAGCAAUGUUGCCCUGUUCAAAGGUGUUCGCACCUGAGCAGAGGUAGAGCAAGUAUGAAGAGACCCGAAAGAUGGUGAACUUUGGUUGUGCAGGUUGAAGCCAGAGGAAACUCUGGUGGAGGACCGAAGCAGUUCUGACGUGCAAAUCGAUUGCCAGACAUGACCAAAGGGGCGAAAGACUAAUCGAACCAUCUAGUAGCUGGUUCCCUCCGAAGUUUCCCUCAGGAUAGCUGGCGCUGGUUAAAUAUAGUUAUAUCCGGUAAAGCGAAUGAUUAGAAGUAUCUGGGUCUAAACGUCCUAGACUUAUUCUCAAACUUUAAAUGGGUAUGAUGUACUGCUCUCUUUAUUGGAGUAGUACGGAUAAUAACAGUGCUUAGUGGGCCAUUUUUGGUAAGCAGAACUGGCGAUGUGGGAUGAACCAAACAUCCAGUUAAGGUGCCUAAUUCAUGCUCAUGAGAUACCACAAAAGGUGUUGGUUGAUAAAGACAGCAGGACGGUGGACAUGGAAGUUGUCAUCCGCUAAGGAGUGUGUAACAACUCACCUGCCGAAUCAACCAGCCCUGAAAAUGGAUGGCGCUGUAGCAUGGAACCUAUACUGGAUCGACACGGUAAGCAAUUUUGCGAGUAUGCCGUGUCGUGUAGGAGGGUGCCGUGAUAGCGUGGAAGCUACUGGCGUAAGUCAGGGUGGAGCUGUUACGGGUACAGAU